RNAcentral lists this small RNA (129 nucleotides) under Clostridium oryzae. RNAcentral's name for it is "c-di-AMP sequence". It matches the Rfam family "c-di-AMP riboswitch aptamer (ydaO/yuaA leader)". From Rfam's summary of the family: This family represents a conserved RNA structure found upstream of the ydaO and yuaA genes in Bacillus subtilis and related genes in other bacteria. The ydaO/yuaA element is thought to act as a genetic "off" switch for the ydaO and yuaA genes in its native state. The record is from Rfam by way of RNAcentral. Lineage: Bacteria; Bacillati; Bacillota; Clostridia; Eubacteriales; Clostridiaceae.
UAACAAGACAAGCCUAAUGCUUAAUGCAGCGGGGGAUUUCCUAAAUUAGGGGUGAAUCCUUCACUGGUAGGGAAAAUCUCUCUUCCCGAACCCGUCAACUAACCUCGCAGGCUCAAUUUGAGAGGAGAA